RNAcentral lists this ribosomal RNA (427 nucleotides) under uncultured bacterium. Its description in RNAcentral is "bacterial SSU rRNA". It matches the Rfam family "Bacterial small subunit ribosomal RNA", at positions 355 to 774 of the family's 1533-position model. The record is from RNAcentral.
UGGGGAAUUUUGGACAAUGGGCGCAAGCCUGAUCCAGCAAUGCCGCGUGCAGGAUGAAGGCCUUCGGGUUGUAAACUGCUUUUGUACGGAGCGAAAAGGUCUGCCCUAAUACGGUGGGCUCAUGACGGUACCGUAAGAAUAAGCACCGGCUAACUACGUGCCAGCAGCCGCGGUAAUACGUAGGGUGCGAGCGUUAAUCGGAAUUACUGGGCGUAAAGCGUGCGCAGGCGGUUAUGCAAGACAGAGGUGAAAUCCCCGGGCUUAACCUGGGACCUGCAUUUGUGACUGUAUAGCUAGAGUACGGUAGAGGGGGAUGGAAUUCCGCGUGUAGCAGUGAAAUGCGUAGAUAUGCGGAGGAACACCGAUGGCGAAGGCAAUCCCCUGGACCUGUACUGACGCUCAUGCACGAAAGCGUGAGGAGCAAACA